RNAcentral lists this ribosomal RNA (382 nucleotides) under uncultured bacterium. RNAcentral's name for it is "bacterial SSU rRNA". It matches the Rfam family "Bacterial small subunit ribosomal RNA", at positions 28 to 412 of the family's 1533-position model. The record is from RNAcentral.
GACGAACGCUGGCGGCGUGCUUAACACAUGCAAGUCGAGCGGUAAGGCCCUUUCGGGGGUACACGAGCGGCGAACGGGUGAGUAACACGUGGGUGACCUGCCCUCAGCACUGGGAUAAGCCUGGGAAACCGGGUCUAAUACUGGAUAUGACUCCAUGACGCAUGUUGUGGGGUGAAAGCCUUGUGCGGCUGAGGAUGGGCCCGCGGCCUAUCAGCUUGUUGGUGGGGUGANGGCCUACCAAGGCGACGACGGGUAGCCGGCCUGAGAGGGCGACCGGCCACACUGGGACUGAGACACGGCCCAGACUCCUACGGGAGGCAGCAGUGGGGAAUCUUGCGCAAUGGGCGAAAGCCUGACGCAGCGACGCCGCGUGAGGGAUGAC